RNAcentral lists this long non-coding RNA (1781 nucleotides) under Marmota monax (woodchuck). Lineage: Eukaryota; Metazoa; Chordata; Mammalia; Rodentia; Sciuridae. The record is from RNAcentral.
CUCAGUGAGACUCUGUCUCCAAAUAAAAUACAAAAUAGGGCUGGGGAUGUGGCUCAGUGGUUGAGUGCCCCUGAGUUUAAUCCCCAGGACCCGCCCCGCAAAAUCCCUCCUUCUUCUAAGCAAACCAUCGAGAAAAUGAAAAGACUAACUUCAGAAGGGGAGAAAAUAUUUGCAUAUCAUGUGUUUGGUCUGUAUCUAGAAUCUACAAACAACUCAAUAAUAAAAAGACAAAUAUGAUUUUAAAAUGGGCAAAGGGCCACGUGGCACAUGCCUGUAACUCCAGCUACUCUGGAGACUGACAAAGGAGAAUUGAAAAUUUGAGGCCAAUCUUGGCAACUUAGUGAGAUUCUGUCUCAAAAUAAAAAAAUAAAAAUAAAAAAUGCUGGGAAUGUAGUUCAGUGGUAAAGUGAACAGACAUUUCUCCUAAGAAAGUUUACAAAGGAGAACUAUAUGAAAAGAUACCUAAGGAGUUGGUGAAUGAAAUAUGGAGGAUAUAUUUUUCAAAGGAUACAAGGUUUUGGUUAUGCAGGAUGAAUAAAUUCUGGAGAUCUGAUGACCAUUCUGGUCUACAGUUAAUGAUACUGCAUUGUAUACUUGGAAUCUGCUACAAGAGAUCUUACAUGUUGUCAUCACACACACACAUACACACACAACUAGGAAGUGACAGGUUAAUUAGCUUUAUUGUAAUAAUCAUUCAUAAUGUAUACAUAUAACAAGGAUUCCAUAGUACAUUGUGAAUUUAUACUUUUGUCAAUUAUACCUUAGUUAACACUGGGGUUAGGGGUUGGAAAAAUGCUUGACAUCUUGGUUAUUAGGGAAAUGCAAAUCAAAAAUCACAAUGACAUAUCACUUUGUACCCAUUAACAUGGGUAUAAUAAAAAAUAGAUAAUAAUAUUAACAAAGGAGUGGAGAAAUUGGAGCCUUCGUGUCUUGCUGAUGGGAUUUUAAAAGGGUAUAAUUGCUUUGGAAAACAGUUUGGCAGUUCUUCAAAAGGUUAACUAUAGAGUUACCACAUGAUCCAGCAAUUUCUCUCAGGUAUCCAUUUAAGGCAAAUGGAAACACAUCCACACACAACUUAUUUGUAAAUAUUCUAGAAAAAAAAAUGAUUCAUGAUAACUAGAAAACAAAUUAAUGUCCAUUAACUGAUGAAUAUAAAAUGAAAUGUGCAUUCUCAUACAAUGUAAAAUUAUAUUGCCAUAAAAAGGAAUAAAGUAUAAGACACAUGAAACUUUUUUGAAAAUUUUUAAUUUUUUCCCACAUUUUAGUGGUGCAUUACAGUUGUUCAUAAUAGUGUGAUUUGUUGCAACAUAUAAGACACACGAAACUUGAAAGCACGUGCUAAGGGAAAAGCUAGUCACAAAAGACCACAUGCUGCAUGAUCCCAUUUAUAUGUCGUAUGCAGAACAGGCAAGCCUGUAGGGACAGAAAGAUUAGUGGUUUCCUAGGGAUAGGAGUUUCCUAUAAAGGGAGAGUAGCUGCUAAUGGGGAUAAGGUUUCUUUCUGUGGUGAUGAAAAUGUUCUAAAAUUGAUUGUGGUGAUGUUUAUAUAACUCAAUUUAAAGCCAUCAAGUUGUACACUUGAAAUAGAUUAAUUGAAUAUCAGGCAAUUACAUUUCAAUAAAGUUUUUAAAAGGCAACCUAAAUUAAAAGACUGUAAAAGUCUUUUGAAUAUAGCACAAAAGUGAAAUUACAUAUGUCAAUUUUGUUUUUCAAUCUUACUGGUAUCAUUUUCAAUUUGUAAAAUAUUCUACUUGUUGCUUUUGCUCUUCCACCUGUUUUCCC